Molecule: RNA transcript, 1308 nt
Organism: Condylostylus longicornis
Lineage: Eukaryota; Metazoa; Arthropoda; Insecta; Diptera; Dolichopodidae
Gene: peo
Gene name: protein crossbronx homolog
Exons: 5
Source: RefSeq, a predicted model, not a curated record
UCAACAGCUAAAAAUUUUAAACCUUAAAAACGUACCAUUUUAUGUAAUGUACCACGAAAAUGGUACAUUUGGCAGUACUGACAAGGAGUAGGCUACUCUAAUCUCUCAUAGUGUCUACGUUCCAGUCUUGUAUUUUUGCAAAGUCGUGGUUUGAUUACUAACAUCUUACAUUAUGUCGUUUUUGAUUUUUUAUUUCUAGUUCAAGUAAAUUUUCAAUUUUUAAUGUUAAUCUGCUAGGUAAAGUUUAUUUAUUUUCCUAACAAAAAAACUGACUAUUCGAUUUUACAAAAUAUACAAAUGUAUAAAUACGUAUAUUUUUAAUGAAAGUUUUAAGUGAUUCGUGUUAUUAUUGUCUGUAAAUAAAAUUAAAGUCGUCCCAAGUCUCAAGCGUAUAUACUUAUAUGAAUACACAUAUGAACAUUAUGGUUGGCUCAAAUAAGCAAGAAGACAAAGUAAUAACUUCGGCAAAACAAGAGUAUAAAAUUCUAGCGGAAUACAAAAUGGUCGAAUCUGAAAAAAUCGGAGGAGUGUAUGUAAUACCGUCAUAUGAAAAUUCUUUAUUAUGGUUUGGGGUUAUUUUUGUAAGAAGCGGGUAUUAUAAAAAUGGAAUAUUUAGAUUCAAUAUAAGUCUACCAGAUAAUUUUCCUGAUGAUAAAACUGCUCCGACCGUCAUAUUUCAAAAUGAAAUAAUUCAUCCAUUAAUCCAUCCAUACACAGGUGCUCUAGAUAUUUCUUUUGCAUUUCCCUAUUGGCGUAUAGGAGAAGACCAUAUCUGGCAAUUACUAAAGUAUAUUUCAUAUAUAUUUAUGGAACCUGAAGAGUGCUUAAAAUCAACGGAAACAUUUCAAAAUAAAAAUGCUUUCGAUCUUAUCACAAUUGAUAUCGAUGAAUUUAAAACUAAGGUGGCACAUUGUGUUCAGCAAAGUAUUAAUAACGUUUAUGAUCCGGCACCUGUUGAUGAUCCGCAUUAUAUUAUAUUUGAAAGGUUUAAUAAUGAAUUGCAUGGUCCAGUAUUAAAUAAAAUGAAAUUAGACGGAGCCAAAUCAAUUGUACCAUCAGCUCAUGCAACCACAAGUUUAUCAUGGGUAAAGGAAGGCGAGUUUAAACCGCUUUCAAAAGAAUAAAAGUGCAAUUAUGAAAAUUCAAACUAUUUCGGAUUUAUUCUUUUUUUCUUAUUCCUACAAGUUAAAACUAUAUAAACAGAUUAAGCCAGAGCAACAAUAUAAGAGUUAAAUCCAUAAUAGUUUUUUUUUGGACAUCAAAUGAAGUCGAAACAAUGUAGCAUUUUUGUAAAGUUUUAAGAUACAA